Molecule: ribosomal RNA, 495 nt
Filed under: uncultured bacterium
Lineage: Bacteria
Description: partial 16S ribosomal RNA
Rfam family: Bacterial small subunit ribosomal RNA
Source: RNAcentral
GACGAACGCUGGCGGCGUGCCUAAUACAUGCAAGUCGAACGCUGAAGGAGGAGCUUGCUUCUCUGGAUGAGUUGCGCACGGGUGAGUAACGCGUAGGUAACCUGCCUGGUAGCGGGGGAUAACUAUUGGAAACGAUAGCUAAUACCGCAUAAUAGCAGUUGUUGCAUGACAACCGUUUGAAAGGUGCAAAUGCAUCACUACCAGAUGGACCUGCGUUGUAUUAGCUAGUUGGUGGGGGAAAGGCCCACCAAAGCGACGAUACAGAGCCGGCCUGAGAGGGUGGACGGGCCAACUGGGAAUGGGACACGGCCCAAGCCCCCUCGGGGGGGCACCGUAGGGGAAUUUCGGCAAAGGGCGGAAAUCUUGCCGAGCAACGCCGCGGGAGUGGAGAAAGUUUUCGGGUCGUAAAACUCUGUUGUGUGGGGAGAACGAGUGGGAGAGUGGAAAGUUCACACUGUGACGGUAUCUUACCAGAAAGGGACGGCUAACUACGUG